UUCUUUCUUCAUAGAUUUGUACAGCCAAGAAUAGGAUUCCAUCACCCCGAGGAUGCUCAGUGUCAAAUGUUUGAAUAUGGCAGCCGUAAAACGUUGGUGAACUCAAGAAAUAAGAGAUGGGAAACCCAAAUAUACUUGCCUUAAAGUCAUUGUGGAAGUCGUGUGAUUUCAGGUGAAGGCAGGUACUCUGGAGUCCCUGACCACAGAAAGACCUGUUCAGGAUGUAGAAGCAGGCACCAAGGCCAUCAGUGGUGACAAGGUGGGUGCCCAUGUGGUAGAGCAGCAGGGCAUUUAUAACUUGGACUCAGUUGGAUUAACAUGC
Molecule: long non-coding RNA, 322 nt
Organism: Myiozetetes cayanensis
Lineage: Eukaryota; Metazoa; Chordata; Aves; Passeriformes; Tyrannidae
Exons: 3
Source: RefSeq, a predicted model, not a curated record